Molecule: small nuclear RNA, 107 nt
Organism: Choloepus didactylus (southern two-toed sloth)
Lineage: Eukaryota; Metazoa; Chordata; Mammalia; Pilosa; Megalonychidae
Source: RefSeq, a predicted model, not a curated record
GUUUUCACUUUGGCAGCACAUACACUAAAAUUGGAAAGAUGCAGAGAAGAUUAACAAGGCCCCUGUGAAAGGAUGACACAGAAAUUCAGGAAGUGCUCCAUAUUUUU